RNAcentral lists this transfer RNA (67 nucleotides) under Schistosoma mansoni. The record is from RNAcentral. Lineage: Eukaryota; Metazoa; Platyhelminthes; Trematoda; Strigeidida; Schistosomatidae.
UCAGUGGCCGAGUGGAUAACGCGAUUGCGUUUGAAGCGAAAGGUACUGGGUUCGAGUCCCAGAGUGA